RNAcentral lists this ribosomal RNA (156 nucleotides) under Stomiopeltis sp. MHCRS11R-Gp010. Its description in RNAcentral is "5.8S ribosomal RNA". It matches the Rfam family "5.8S ribosomal RNA". From Rfam's summary of the family: 5.8S ribosomal RNA (5.8S rRNA) is a component of the large subunit of the eukaryotic ribosome. It is transcribed by RNA polymerase I as part of the 45S precursor that also contains 18S and 28S rRNA. Functionally, it is thought that 5.8S rRNA may be involved in ribosome translocation. Lineage: Eukaryota; Fungi; Ascomycota; Dothideomycetes; Capnodiales. The record is from RNAcentral.
AACUUUCAACAACGGAUCUCUUGGUUUUCGCAUCGAUGAAGAACGCAGCGAAAUGCGAUAAGUAAUGUGAAUUGCAGAAUUCAGUGAAUCAUCGAAUCUUUGAACGCACAUUGCGCCCUCUGGUAUUCCGGAGGGCAUGCCCGUUCGAGCGUCAUU